Molecule: ribosomal RNA, 326 nt
Filed under: Coccinella quinquepunctata
Lineage: Eukaryota; Metazoa; Arthropoda; Insecta; Coleoptera; Coccinellidae
Description: partial 16S ribosomal RNA
Source: RNAcentral
UAUAAUUUAAAGUAGGGCCUGCCCACUGAAUUUUUAAAGGGCCGCAGUAUUUUGACUGUGCAAAGGUAGCAUAAUCAUUAGUUUUUUAAUUGAAAGCUUGUAUGAAUGGUUUGAUGAAAAAAUAACUUUCUAUGUUUAAAUUUUUAAAAAUUUUAUUUUUAAGUUAAAAAGCUUAAAUUUUUUUAAUAGACGAGAAGACCCUAUAGAGUUUAAUUUUAAUAAAUUUUUAAAUUUAUAGAAUUAAGAAAUUUUAAAUUUUAUUAUAAUUUGGUUGGGGUGACUGAAAAAUUUAAUGAACUUUUUUUAAUUAUAUACAUAGAUUUAUG